RNAcentral lists this ribosomal RNA (907 nucleotides) under Aspergillus flavus. RNAcentral describes it as "eukaryotic LSU rRNA". The stretch from base 163 to 316 matches the Rfam family "5.8S ribosomal RNA". The record is from RNAcentral. Lineage: Eukaryota; Fungi; Ascomycota; Eurotiomycetes; Eurotiales; Aspergillaceae.
GAGCCCAACCUCCCACCCGUGUUUACUGUACCUUAGUUGCUUCGGCGGGCCCGCCAUUCAUGGCCGCCGGGGGCUCUCAGCCCCGGGCCCGCGCCCGCCGGAGACACCACGAACUCUGUCUGAUCUAGUGAAGUCUGAGUUGAUUGUAUCGCAAUCAGUUAAAACUUUCAACAAUGGAUCUCUUGGUUCCGGCAUCGAUGAAGAACGCAGCGAAAUGCGAUAACUAGUGUGAAUUGCAGAAUUCCGUGAAUCAUCGAGUCUUUGAACGCACAUUGCGCCCCCUGGUAUUCCGGGGGGCAUGCCUGUCCGAGCGUCAUUGCUGCCCAUCAAGCACGGCUUGUGUGUUGGGUCGUCGUCCCCUCUCCGGGGGGGACGGGCCCCAAAGGCAGCGGCGGCACCGCGUCCGAUCCUCGAGCGUAUGGGGCUUUGUCACCCGCUCUGUAGGCCCGGCCGGCGCUUGCCGAACGCAAAUCAAUCUUUUUCCAGGUUGACCUCGGAUCAGGUAGGGAUACCCGCUGAACUUAAGCAUAUCAAAANNCGGGAAGGANAGAUCAUUACCGAGUGUAGGGUUCCUAGCGAGCCAACCUCCCACCCGUGUUUACUGUACCUUAGUUGCUUCGGCGGGCCGCCAUUCAGGCCGCCCGGGGCUCUAGCCCGGGCCGNCGCCACCCACAAAAACUCUGUCUUAUCUGUGAUAGUCGAGUUGAUUGGUAUUGUAUCCAUCUCAUUAAAUUCUUUCAGGUGGGAUUUUUGGGUUUCGCUCGAUNANAACGCACNNANGCGAUUACUAAUGGUGUAAAUUGUGCAAAAUCUUGCGAGUAAUCAGUCUNCUUAAGCAAUAGAGCGCCGCGCAUAUUCUGGGGGGCAGGCGGUCUAGCAUCAAUGCUGCUUANNCACGCACGANGNU